GCGGGUGUAGCUCAAUGGUAGAGCAGUAGCUUCCCAAGCUGAUGACGAGGGUUCGAUUCCCUUCACCCGCU
RNAcentral lists this transfer RNA (71 nucleotides) under Thalassovita gelatinovora. RNAcentral describes it as "Thalassobius gelatinovorus tRNA". It matches the Rfam family "tRNA". From Rfam's summary of the family: Transfer RNA (tRNA) molecules are approximately 80 nucleotides in length. Their secondary structure includes four short double-helical elements and three loops (D, anti-codon, and T loops). RNAcentral also lists the same sequence under 1 other name. Lineage: Bacteria; Pseudomonadati; Pseudomonadota; Alphaproteobacteria; Rhodobacterales; Roseobacteraceae. The record is from Rfam by way of RNAcentral.